This 51-nucleotide ribosomal RNA is filed under the name Paenibacillus polymyxa. Its description in RNAcentral is "partial 23S ribosomal RNA". The record is from RNAcentral. Lineage: Bacteria; Bacillati; Bacillota; Bacilli; Caryophanales; Paenibacillaceae.
AGUAAUGCAUGGAGCUGACCAAUACUAAUCGGUCGAGGGCUUAUCCUAAAA